GUGGCUCAGCCUGGUAGAGCACCUCGUUCGGGACGAGGGGGUCGCAGGUUCAAAUCCUGCC
Molecule: transfer RNA, 61 nt
Filed under: Stutzerimonas stutzeri
Lineage: Bacteria; Pseudomonadati; Pseudomonadota; Gammaproteobacteria; Pseudomonadales; Pseudomonadaceae
Also listed under: 1 other name
Description: Pseudomonas stutzeri tRNA-Pro
Rfam family: tRNA
About the family: Transfer RNA (tRNA) molecules are approximately 80 nucleotides in length. Their secondary structure includes four short double-helical elements and three loops (D, anti-codon, and T loops).
Source: RNAcentral